CCCUUAGAUGUUCUGGGCGGCACGCGCACUACAAUGGCGUGUGCAGCGAGUGCCGAAGUAGAGUUUUCCGAGGUAUUCUUGCAAUGCUCGUUUUGAUGGGGAUAGACCCUUGCAACUGUUGGUUUUGAACGAGGAAUUCCUUGUAAGCAUGGUUUAUCAUCCGACGCUGAAUGCGUCCCUGCCCUUUGUACACACCGCCCGUCGCUCCUACCGAUGAGUCGUCCGGUGAAGUUCGUAGACCUCGUGAUCGCGGAUCACUGGGGGAAGCAAAAUGAACCUCGCGGUUUAGAGGAAGGAGAAGUCGUAACA
Molecule: ribosomal RNA, 309 nt
Filed under: uncultured eukaryote
Lineage: Eukaryota
Description: partial 18S ribosomal RNA
Rfam family: Eukaryotic small subunit ribosomal RNA
Source: RNAcentral